UUUCCAGCAGUCCCAAAAUAUUAGUCAAUGCUCGAAAGAGUGAACUAGCUAACUGAAAUCAAUAAUAAUAAUUGAUAACAUAAGGGAAAAUAAUGAUAUUACCUUAUUAUUAGUGUCGUCCAAAUCUGGUGCCAGAAGACUCGGUAAGGCCAGAGACACAAACGUUAAUCGUCUUAAUCAGGCGUAAAGGGUUUGUAGGCGGCUUUAAAAUUUACUUAUAAAAUAAAACACAUAUUGUUUUUGUUUUUGUUUUUGAUUUAAUAAGUAAAAAAUCAAAGCUAGAAUCAAAUAGAGGAUAUAUGAAAGAAUGCUUAGAGUAGGUCUGAUAUCCUUAGAUACUAAGUAGAAUAUUAAAGGCGAAAGCUUUUUUCCAUUAAUGAUUGACGCUCAGAAACGAAGGUGAGGAUAGGAAAUAGGAUUAGAUACCCAAAAUACCCCUCUCUGUCAACGAUGAAUGGUAGUUAUUAGUAAAAAUUUAUUAAUGGCAAUGUUAACACGAUAACCAUUCCGCCUUGUGAGUACAACUGCAAAGUUGAAAACAAAAAAAUUAGUCGGUUUCGGAGCAAACGAAGUGAAGCAUGUUAUUUAAUUCGAAUAAUCCGCAAA
RNAcentral lists this ribosomal RNA (606 nucleotides) under Russula sp. RNAcentral's name for it is "SSU rRNA". It matches the Rfam family "Bacterial small subunit ribosomal RNA", at positions 345 to 967 of the family's 1533-position model. Lineage: Eukaryota; Fungi; Basidiomycota; Agaricomycetes; Russulales; Russulaceae. The record is from RNAcentral.